AGGCUCAGUGUGAACAUCAGCUAGAGUGACAGCCUUCACGUCUCCUCACAGCAGAGCUGCAGUGAACCGAUUCCUCAAGGCCCGUCCCACCUGGGUAAAGUGGCCAUAGGGCUUCUGUUGCCUUCCUAGAAACUUAUCUUUAAGGGAAAACCCUUGAAGGAUAUCAGACAGCCAUUUUCAGGAUUUGGAAUGCAGAAUAACUGCCAGGUCGUGAUACCUGGCACAAAGAAUAGGGUAGGAGGACGAAGUUGAAUUAAAGAAGCUGAAGGAUUUAGAGAAGUCUGUGGAGAGGAGAGCUGACUAAAUAGAGAGGGAAAGAAAGAACUCAUGGUGUUCAUCAGGCUUUUCUGGCUAAGGAUUUAGAACCUGAAACUCUGCAAACUUGAGAGGAGAGGAGAGCAACAACUGAACAAUGAAGAGGGGAUGAUUUAAAGACCAGUUCUGCCAAAACAUUUCAAAUAUGAAAACCAAAAAGGAAGGAGCUGGGGAAAAAGGCUCAAGUGUUCCUAGCUGACCCCUGACCACCACCACAGAGCACCACCUCGGCCAGGAGACACUGGGCUCCAGGCCAGGAGCUUGGCCCUGGCCGAGUGA
This 594-nucleotide long non-coding RNA is filed under the name Homo sapiens (human). RNAcentral describes it as "non-protein coding lnc-FAM57A-6:1". Lineage: Eukaryota; Metazoa; Chordata; Mammalia; Primates; Hominidae. The record is from RNAcentral.